CCAGACUCCUACGGGAGGCAGCAGUGAGGAAUAUUGGUCAAUGGGCGCGAGCCUGAACCAGCCAAGUAGCGUGAAGGAUGACUGCCCUACGGGUUGUAAACUUCUUUUAUAAAGGAAUAAAGUGAGGCACGUGUGCCUUUUUGUAUGUACUUUAUGAAUAAGGAUCGGCUAACUCCGUGCCAGCAGCCGCGGUAAUACGGAGGAUGCGAGCGUUAUCCGGAUUUAUUGGGUUUAAAGGGUGCGUAGGCGGAGUGUCAAGUCAGCGGUAAAAUUUCGGGGCUCAACCCCGUCGUGCCGUUGAAACUGACGCCCUUGAGUGAGUGAGAAGUAAGCGGAAUGCGUGAUGUAGCGGUGAAAUGCAUAGAUAUCACGCAGAACUCCGAUUGCGAAGGCAGCAUGCCGGCUCCACACUGACGCUGAGGCACGAAAGCGUGGGUAUCGAACAGGAUUAGAUACCCGUGUAGC
Molecule: ribosomal RNA, 465 nt
Filed under: uncultured bacterium
Lineage: Bacteria
Description: bacterial SSU rRNA
Rfam family: Bacterial small subunit ribosomal RNA
Source: RNAcentral